This 253-nucleotide ribosomal RNA is filed under the name uncultured bacterium. RNAcentral describes it as "partial 16S ribosomal RNA". It matches the Rfam family "Bacterial small subunit ribosomal RNA", at positions 524 to 776 of the family's 1533-position model. The record is from RNAcentral.
UACGGAGGGGGCUAGCGUUGUUCGGAAUUACUGGGCGUAAAGCGCACGUAGGCGGCUUUGUAGGUUAGAGGUGAAAGCCCGGGGCUCAACUCCGGAAUUGCCUUUAAGACUGCAUCGCUAGAAUUGUGGAGAGGUAAGUGGAAUUCCGAGUGUAGAGGUGAAAUUCGUAGAUAUUCGGAAGAACACCAGUGGCGAAGGCGACUUACUGGACAAAUAUUGACGCUGAGGUGCGAAAGCGUGGGGAGCAAACAGG